GUUUACAAGUAUAGUAGGGAGAGAAGUCAUUUACACAGAAGAAUGGAAUACAAAUUAAAAUGAGUUUUUAACCCAAGAGACAGUAUAGACUAGUGGAUGGAGAGCACUCCCAAGAGUUGGGUGAUCCUGGCUUUAAAUCUUACCUUGGGCACCCAUUGUGACCUAGACUGAAUCACGAAGCCACAUGAGAUUCAGGAGAUGCAGUUACAUUUGGAGAGGAAGAUCUUCCCUGGGAGCUGUCCACAUGAAUGAAAUCAUAAAAUACCAUAGAAUCAUUGAAGUCCAGUGCAGGACAAAAGUCAAGACCAUCAACAAUGGCCUGAGAUGCAGUGGGUGACCUUGGUGCUUUAGACAUUCGAUCAAACUCCAAGCUCGAUUCCCAGCUUAGUGGAGAGAUUGACUCCAUGCUAUGGUGAAGGAAUAUCCAGAGGUGGAAUUCAUCAAAUUGCAGCCCUGAGAACUGGAAAAGGUGAAGAAAGAUAAUCCAAGGUCUCUCCAAGCAACUAAAGUCAAGAAGCAAGAUGAUCAGUCAGGGGCACGGGCGGGGGUCAAAGUGGUUGAGUAUAUGUAGUCUGGAUACUUCUUAUCUCUGGAGUCACACAAAAGAGGAGCUCAGAUAGAAGAAUAUUUUAUAGGAAGUAAUUUAAGUUCCAUGUAUACCUUCCAGGUAUAAUAACACUUGAACUGAACCAAGCCUCGUCGUACAUAUGGGACCAAAGAGUGAGAGAUAGACUGACGUCUUCUUUGGGUUAUUGACAAAAUUCUGUCUUCCUCCAUCCACAGAUGAGUAAGUGCAGAGAAAUGUAAGAAAGCAUAAUCUUUGUCCUGAGUGAGUUUGCAUUCUAUCUGAGAUGAGAUUAAUAAACAUGAAAGGGGGGGUGUGCUGUAUGUGCCAAGUUCAGUGGGAUGUAAAUGAUAA
Molecule: long non-coding RNA, 919 nt
Organism: Sarcophilus harrisii (Tasmanian devil)
Lineage: Eukaryota; Metazoa; Chordata; Mammalia; Dasyuromorphia; Dasyuridae
Exons: 5
Source: RefSeq, a predicted model, not a curated record